GACGAACGCUGGCGGCGUGCUUAACACAUGCAAGUCGAACGGAAAGGCCCUGCUUUUGUGGGGUGCUCGAGUGGCGAACGGGUGAGUAACACGUGAGUAACCUGCCCUUGACUUUGGGAUAACUUCAGGAAACUGGGGCUAAUACCGGAUAGGAGCUCCUGCUGCAUGGUGGGGGUUGGAAAGUUUCGGCGGUUGGGGAUGGACUCGCGGCUUAUCAGCGUGUUGGUGGGGUAGUGGCUUACCAAGGCUUUGACGGGUAGCCGGCCUGAGAGGGUGACCGGCGACAUUGGGACUGAGAUACGGCCCAGACUCCUACGGGAGGCAGCAGUGGGGAAUAUUGCACAAUGGGCGGAAGCCUGAUGCAGCAACGCCGCGUGCGGGAUGACGGCCUUCGGGUUGUAAACCGCUUUCGCCUGUGACGAAGCGUGAGUGACGGUAAUGGGUAAAGAAGCACCGGCUAACUACGUG
Molecule: ribosomal RNA, 468 nt
Filed under: uncultured bacterium
Lineage: Bacteria
Description: partial 16S ribosomal RNA
Rfam family: Bacterial small subunit ribosomal RNA
Source: RNAcentral